CAAUGCUGAAACAUCAAAGCCAACAGCAAACCCGACCAUAUCAAAGGAAAAAAAAUAUGCCACACACACUGAGUACCUUUACGAUGUGGUCCAGAAUUCCAUAACGUCAGAAAAUCGCCCUGACCAAUCUCGCUUCCAUUUUCUCCAGAGAGCCCUUCCCAGAUCUUAGAGGAAAUUGCGGCCUCAGUGAGCAUCCUUGAUUGCAUACGUUCUUCAAACUCGGAAAAUAUUGGGAAAUAUUGCCAUGAGCAGCUACUAAGCUAUCUGAAACAGAC
Suricata suricatta (meerkat) is the source of this 275-nucleotide long non-coding RNA. RefSeq lists it as uncharacterized. Lineage: Eukaryota; Metazoa; Chordata; Mammalia; Carnivora; Herpestidae. The transcript is spliced from 3 exons. The record is from RefSeq and is a predicted model, not a curated record.